UGAGUACUAUACAAUAGUUAAAGCUUUCAACAACGGAUCUCUUGGUUCUGGCAUCGAUGAAGAACGCAGCGAAAUGCGAUAAGUAAUGUGAAUUGCAGAAUUCAGUGAAUCAUCGAAUCUUUGAACGCACAUUGCGCCCUCUGGUAUUCCGGGGGGCAUGCCUGUUCGAGCGUCAUUACAACCCUCAAGCUCAGCUUGGUGUUGGGCUCGCCCCCAGUGGGCCUGCCUCAAAAUCAGUGGCGGCUCCGUCCGGUCUCAAGCGCAGUAAUACUCGUCGCUUGUUGGUCCCGGGCGGUGGUCUGCUAACAACCCCCAAUCUUUUACAUUGUUGACCUCGGAUCAGGUAGGGAUACCCGCUGAACUUAAGCAUAUCAAUAAGCGGAGGAAAAGAAACCAACAGGGAUUGCCUCAGUAACGGCGAGUGAAGCGGCAGCAGCUCAAAUUUGAAAGCUGGCUCCUUCGGGGCCCGCGUUGUAAUUUGUGGAGGAUGUUUCGGGCGCGGCGCCGGUCUAAGUUCUUUGGAACAAGACGUCAUAGAGGGUGAGAAUCCCGUAUGUGACUGGUUGCCUGUGCCCAUGUGAAACUCCUUCGACGAGUCGAGUAGUUUGGGAAUGCUGCUCAAAAUGGGAGGUGUAUUUCUUCUAAAGCUAAAUAUUGGCCAGAGACCGAUAGCGCACAAGUAGAGCGAUCGAAAGAUGAAAAGCACUUUGGAAAGAGAGUUAAACAGUACGUGAAAUUGUUGAAAGGGGAGCGCUUGCAAUCAGACUUGCGCGGCGUCGAUCAGCCUGGGUUCUCCCUGGUGUACUCGGCGCCGCUCAGGCCAGCAUCAGUUUCGGCGGUGGGAUAAAGGCUCAGGGAACGUGAGUUGCUUCGGUGACUGUUAUAGCCCUGGGUGCAAUGCCGCCUGCCGGGACUGAGGACCGCGCUUCGGCU
Molecule: ribosomal RNA, 933 nt
Filed under: uncultured Rhytismatales
Lineage: Eukaryota; Fungi; Ascomycota; Leotiomycetes; Rhytismatales
Description: eukaryotic LSU rRNA
Rfam family: Eukaryotic large subunit ribosomal RNA (bases 330-933)
Source: RNAcentral